CCUGCUCGUGCAGCAACUGCUAUGAGAAGAUUGGAUCAUGGAUCAGUAUACCAUGGGGCUGUUGCGGUUCUUCAAAGUGUUGGUGCAUCAGCAGCACCAGUUUCUAAUCCUUGGGGAGUGUCAGGGAAUACCAAAGGAGGAGGAGCAGCUGCAGCUUUCAAGCCAGGGAAAAAGGCUGUGGUUCCAGAGCAUGGUUGGAGGGAAGAUUCAUGGGG
This 215-nucleotide unclassified non-coding RNA is filed under the name Hevea brasiliensis (rubber tree). The record is from RNAcentral. Lineage: Eukaryota; Viridiplantae; Streptophyta; Magnoliopsida; Malpighiales; Euphorbiaceae.